CACUCGUGUCGUGAGAUGUUGGGUUAAGUCCCGCAACGAGCGCAACCCCUGUUCCAUGUUGCCAGCGCGUGAUGGCGGGGACUCAUGGGAGACUGCCGGGGUCAACUCGGAGGAAGGUGGGGAUGACGUCAAGUCAUCAUGCCCCUUAUGUCCAGGGCUUCACACAUGCUACAAUGGCUCAUACAGAGGGCUGCGAGACCGUGAGGUGGAGCGAAUCCCUUAAAGUGAGUCUCAGUUCGGAUCGGGGUCUGCAACUCGACCCCGUGAAGUCGGAGUCGCUAGUAAUCGCGGAUCAGCAAUGCCGCGGUGAAUACGUUCCCGGGCCUUGUACAC
RNAcentral lists this ribosomal RNA (333 nucleotides) under uncultured bacterium. Its description in RNAcentral is "bacterial SSU rRNA". It matches the Rfam family "Bacterial small subunit ribosomal RNA", at positions 1057 to 1388 of the family's 1533-position model. The record is from RNAcentral.